AAUUAUCCUCAUAAGUUAGACGAGAAGAGGGACCGCAUAUAUAAAAAUAAAACAUUAUAUAAGGCGGUGGCACAAAAUCGGAGGCCCCGACUGUUUACUAAAAACACAACACAGUGCAAUCAUUAAUAUGAUAGUAUACUGUGUGAAAUUUGCCCAAUGCCAUUAAUAUAAGAGCGGUCAUGGGUAACUGUGACUAAUCGAAAAUCUGGUUAAUAGCGGUCUUAACUAUGAGGAUCCUAAGGUAGCAAAAUCAAUUGGCCGUUAAAUGCGGUCGAGUAUCAAUAAUGUAACGAUGGCCUCACUGUCUCUACAACUUGCUCAGUGAAAUUGAAUUACGCGUGCAGAUGCGCGUUGCCUCCAGGGGGACGGGAAGACCCUAUGCAGCU
RNAcentral lists this ribosomal RNA (386 nucleotides) under Pluteus sp. JM96/28. RNAcentral describes it as "LSU rRNA". It matches the Rfam family "Bacterial large subunit ribosomal RNA", at positions 1720 to 2100 of the family's 2925-position model. Lineage: Eukaryota; Fungi; Basidiomycota; Agaricomycetes; Agaricales; Pluteaceae. The record is from RNAcentral.